This 443-nucleotide ribosomal RNA is filed under the name uncultured bacterium. RNAcentral's name for it is "partial 16S ribosomal RNA". It matches the Rfam family "Bacterial small subunit ribosomal RNA", at positions 338 to 795 of the family's 1533-position model. The record is from RNAcentral.
CCUACGGGAGGCUGCAGUGGGGAAUAUUGCGCAAUGGGCGAAAGCCUGACGCAGCGACGCCGCGUGAGGGAUGAAGGUCUUCGGAUCGUAAACCUCUUUUCUCAGGGACGAAGCAAGUGACGGUACCUGAGGAAUAAGCCACGGCUAACUACGUGCCAGCAGCCGCGGUAAUACGUAGGUGGCAAGCGUUAUCCGGAUUUACUGGGUGUAAAGGGCGUGUAGGCGGGACUGCAAGUCAGAUGUGAAAACCACGGGCUCAACCUGUGGCCUGCAUUUGAAACUGUAGUUCUUGAGUACUGGAGAGGCAGACGGAAUUCCUAGUGUAGCGGUGAAAUGCGUAGAUAUUAGGAGGAACACCAGUGGCGAAGGCGGUCUGCUGGACAGCAACUGACGCUGAGGCGCGAAAGCGUGGGGAGCAAACAGGAUUAGAUACCCUGGUAGUC